This 406-nucleotide ribosomal RNA is filed under the name uncultured bacterium. RNAcentral's name for it is "partial 16S ribosomal RNA". It matches the Rfam family "Bacterial small subunit ribosomal RNA", at positions 30 to 526 of the family's 1533-position model. The record is from RNAcentral.
AUUGAACGCUGGCGGCAGGCCUAACACAUGCAAGUCGAACGAGUGGCGGACGGGUGAGUAAUGUCUGGGAAACUGCCUGAUGGAGGGGGAUAACUACUGGAAACGGUAGCUAAUACCGCAUACCAUCGGAUGUGCCCAGAUGGGAUGAGCUAGUAGGUGGGGUAAAGGCUCACAUAGGUGACGCGCCCUAGCUGGUCUGAGAGGGUGACCAGCCACACUGGAACUGAGAAACGGUCCAGACUCCUACGGGAGGCAGCAGUGGGGAAUAUUGGACAAUGGGCGCAAGCCUGAUGCAGCCAUGCCGCGUGUAUGAAGAAGGCCUUCGGGUUGUAAAGUACGUUCAGCGGGGAGGCGUUACCCGCAGAAGAAGCACCGGCUAACUCCGUGCCAGCAGCCGCGGUAAUUC